GCAGUCUAGAAAACGCAUUGGCAGAUGGUGAUGGAGAGUAGAGUAGUAAGGUGUGGCAUGGCAGGGCAUUAAGAAUAGGAUACUCUUCACUUUCUCAUUGCGGGCUUCUUUGGAUAGAUAGAUCAUUACAUCCUCAGUUCCCCUCUGAUGAACCAAAUUCAUAUAGAUCGCCAUUGGAAUAUUGGUUGCUAACAAGAAGAUGACGGCAAAUGCUACUUUUGAAGGCCAUUUGGUAUAACUGUUUGAAGAACCUUUCCUCAUCACACAUGGAGAAUCAGGUCUUGCCAUAACAGACAAUGCAUAUCCAGAGAAUAUCAAAGCUAUUGGCAGCACAGGCAAGACAAACCCGAAUUCUUUGUGGCCCAAUAAACUGUAAAGAACGAUAACCCAUGCAAUGAGACCAGAAUGCUUCCAACAUUUAGACUUGAUACUG
RNAcentral lists this unclassified non-coding RNA (433 nucleotides) under Hevea brasiliensis (rubber tree). The record is from RNAcentral. Lineage: Eukaryota; Viridiplantae; Streptophyta; Magnoliopsida; Malpighiales; Euphorbiaceae.